Molecule: long non-coding RNA, 3098 nt
Organism: Pezoporus occidentalis (night parrot)
Lineage: Eukaryota; Metazoa; Chordata; Aves; Psittaciformes; Psittacidae
Exons: 2
Source: RefSeq, a predicted model, not a curated record
CCCCAAGAAAUAUGGCUUAUAGUGUUAGGGAGAGGAACAAAAAGAAGCUGAAGAGAUGAGAAAAGAUAGUAAAACCAAACCUCUAGCUCCAGAAAAAUGGCAUUACUGCCGUCAUAAUUGCAGGUUUUUUUAAAAUGGCCUGAUCUGUGCAUGAGGAGCUGUCCUUUCAUGCAAACACUGUAACUUUUUGAGCUUAAAGGCCAUGCCAUGUGUUCAUGAAUUUUAAUGUAAACAAAAUCAGCUGCCUUUUCUUUUUUUUUUUUCCACAGUUUUUAAGAUCUCUCUUUUCUUUGUUGUGUGGGGUGAGGGGCAAAGGAACAAAAUGGCCAAAGUAUGAGAUGCAGCGUGCUGGUACAUGCAGUUUUGUCUCCAGCUGAAUCCUAUCCUCCAUGCUCUAAAGAUAUCACAUUUACAACAAAGAGAUUUGAGAGACUGGGACCAAAUAAGUACUUUGAGCACAGCCUUUCCAAACCACCACUAAGAGAAAAAGAAUGUGAAAUGAGAGUAGCCCUUGACUCUUCACAGGUUUCACAGAGAAGGUAGAGCUCGCUCCUUGCUCUGUAGCGAUGUAUUGACAGACUUUUGGCUAAAGUGUGGCAGCUCCAGCUCCAUACCAAUUAGCCUCAAAUAUUCAGGCCAAGGUGACCUGUCAGAGGAGCUCAAAAAGGAGUCUUACAAAGUAUCAUCUGCAGAAGAUAGCAACCAUUUUCUUACAUCUUUUCUGUCCUGUGGAUUCCUCAGUCACAGAAGGGAAUGUGCUCCUAGCACAGUUAUUUUGAAGGAGAGCUGAUUUUGCAGGGUACCUCCCAUCCCAAAACCUUUACUUUUGAAGCUCUGCUGCUAGCUAAUGAUGUUGAUGCACCAAAAAUGCCAUCUGCCAUUUCAGAACUGACACCUGCCCUGCACAUAGUUUUGAGCAUCUCAUAUGGCAAUGCCAAAGACGCAUUCAGGCUUUUAAUGAGCUACUCAUCUUUCUCUCAAUCCGACUCAAACAUAAUUUUUCUUCUAGUUAGAUAUUUCUGUACAUACAUAACUGUAUAGCUACAGAGAUAUGCUCUGGGAAUUAAAAAAUUCAGACUUCAUGAAUAUUUUUGGGAAGGAGCCUAACUCCUAUUACUUUACAACUUCACUUUGAAAUCUGCAAGACAAGAAGUACCUUCAAUUUAUUUUAUCACUGUAAGGGUACAUAUAUUUUUCUUGUUUAAAACCGAAAAUCUGCAUGAAUAACUACAUUUUGAAGUCUAUUUGCUCUAAAAUAAAAGGAAUUGUGUGACUAGUUUCAAUACCUUCAGUAUAAUGGUAGUGAAACUCCAAAAUUGUAAUAAACAGUGUAAUUUCUUGUAAUAUAUUGAAAUAAUGUUACUAUUAUGAAAAAUUGCGUUUAUGUCACCUGAAUUAAUAUUUGACCCCUUUGAGCUGGAAAUGCCUCUUCAAGCCUGAAGUUCUCCAAGAAAUGACAGUACCAUGACAAAAGUUCUAACUCCUUUUCACAAUCUUCUAACGACAUCUCUUCAGCUAUUAUUAUUUUGGUCCAAAUUCCACUUGACGCAAUCCAUGGACUGAAAUAUGCCUAACUCCGGAAGAACACUGUCUUGAGUGAGCUUCCCACUGAAAUUAAGUUGUUGUAUACAGCCGUGUGUUACCAGGUACAGUGUUUGCUCACCCUGCUGCAUCUACCAUGUAUGUGCUGGAAAAGCCACCCAAAUGAUUUGUAACAAGUUCAGCUGAAUGCUCUCUGCCAGGGAUCAAGCUAUACCGCUCAGUACUGCAGGACAAAUUGAGGCUCUCAAAAAAGCAAAAUGCAGCAGCACUGUUUGAUUACUCUUCUGUAAAAGGACCACUCAAGAGCACAAAACUCUCUCCACUGCCAUGACACAGUAUCAGCGCAACAGGACUAGUUCUUAGGAUUUUUCAAUCACCACUUGAAAUUUCUGUGCUGUAUCUUACUAGCUAAAAGUUAAGAUUAUCCACAUACACUCCUAACUUCUGUUCGUCAUUUCACUUUCAACAUUUAUUUUAAUAUGUAUUUAUAUAUGUUAUAUAUUAAUGCUUAUGUACAACUAUAUGUUUAUAUAUCAACAUAUCUUUUUGUUACCAAAUCUAGUAACAGGCAAAAAUUAUUAUUGUUUCUUUUGUUUCUUAUUUUUGUUUAAGCUCAGUUAGGUUUGCUUCUAGGGAAAUGCCUGGCAUACAUAAAAGAAGAAGGUGGCAGACUCCACAAUGUUCAGGCCAUGUGGGACACAAGUGGUGAGGAAGCAGAGGAGCCCUGGUGCAGUGGGAAGAAUGCAGUUCCUGGGGUAUUACUUUUUGGGCUUGCUAGAUAUUUAAUGUUUCAGACCUUAGAUAUCAAAGUUACUCUUUUUUUUCUUCCUUCUUCUGAGCAAGCUUAAAAGAAUAUAUUUCAAUUCCAAUCCCCACCACUUCCAUGGAGAGGAUUGUUUUAGUUCUGUGAAAUGUUAAAAGUUGUAUGUUAUCUGUUGCAUUGCACUUGUAUAUUCUGUUCAUGAGAAAGGUUAUACAGAAUAUAAAUAAGUCUAAUGAUAAAAAGACAUUGUAAAACAAAGAAAUAUAAAACACCUGAUUUUAAAUUACUUUUGCUUCUCAUUCCUGACACAAGUGAUGAUGUUCAAAACACAGUACUUUUGCAUAAAUAAUUUCCAUUUCAAUGAAUCAGUGCUUGCUAAGGGGAAAAUAUUUACAUCUUUGCUUGUUCUAUCAGCUUCUCGAUUGCAAAUACUGCCUCAAAACAACAACUUAGCAAAAAAUCUUUUGGAAAGCUACAAAAUGUUAAAGAUUUUCUUGGCCUAGAGAGAAAAUCAGAGGGAUGAGACACUCUCAGUUAAUGUGGAAGCACGGCAGCAAUAAAAUGCUGAGUUGACAAAAAUUACUUCCAUUCAGUACAGCAAUCCAAACUGUUUUGGUUCCAAUUAAGCAAAAGAGAAAUGGCAGAAAAUUGGACAAAAAAACAUUGAUAAAAAUACUGAUUAGCUCAACUAAAAAGGCCAGGAUGAAAAGGCUCAACUAUAUAGGAUCAGAGUUGAAUCCUGUAUUUGGAAAUUAGAAGAACUGUGCAAUAAAAUAAAAGUUUAUUAUAUUUA